GAUGAACGCUGGCGGCGUGCCUAAUACAUGCAAGUCGAGCGAACAGAUGAGGAGCUUGCUCCUCUGACGUUAGCGGCGGACGGGUGAGUAACACGUGGAUAACCUACCUAUAAGACUGGGAUAACUUCGGGAAACCGGAGCUAAUACCGGAUAAUAUAUUGAACCGCAUGGUUCAAUAGUGAAAGACGGUUUUGCUGUCACUUAUAGAUGGAUCCGCGCCGCAUUAGCUAGUUGGUAAGGUAACGGCUUACCAAGGCAACGAUGCGUAGCCGGCCUGAGAGGGUGAUCGGCCACACUGGAACUGAGACACGGUCCAGACUCCUACGGGAGGCAGCAGUAGGGAAUCUUCCGCAAAGGGCGAAAGCCUGACGGAGCAACGCCGCGUGAGUGAUGAAGGUCUUCGGAUCGUAAAACUCUGUUAUUAGGGAAGAACAAAUGUGUAAGUAACUAUGCACGUCUUGACGGUACCUAAUCAGAAAGCCACGGCUAACUACGUG
Molecule: ribosomal RNA, 497 nt
Filed under: uncultured bacterium
Lineage: Bacteria
Description: partial 16S ribosomal RNA
Rfam family: Bacterial small subunit ribosomal RNA
Source: RNAcentral